AUUGAACGCUGGCGGCAGGCCUAACACAUGCAAGUCGAACGGUAACAGGAAGAAGCUUGCUUCUUUGCUGACGAGUGGCGGACGGGUGAGUAAUGUCUGGGAAACUGCCUGAUGGAGGGGGAUAACUACUGGAAACGGUAGCUAAUACCGCAUAACGUCGCAAGACCAAAGAGGGGGACCUUCGGGCCUCUUGCCAUCGGAUGUGCCCAGAUGGGAUUAGCUAGUAGGUAGGGUAACGGCUCACCUAGGCGACGAUCCCUAGCUGGUCUGAGAGGAUGACCAGCCACACUGGAACUGAGACACGGUCCAGACUCCUACGGGAGGCAGCAGUGGGGAAUAUUGCACAAUGGGCGCAAGCCUGAUGCAGCCAUGCCGCGUGUAUGAAGAAGGCCUUCGGGUUGUAAAGUACUUUCAGCGGGGAGGAAGGGAGUAAAGUUAAUACCUUGACUCAUUGACGUUACCCGCAGAAGAAGCACCGGCUAACUCCGUG
This 490-nucleotide ribosomal RNA is filed under the name uncultured bacterium. Its description in RNAcentral is "partial 16S ribosomal RNA". It matches the Rfam family "Bacterial small subunit ribosomal RNA", at positions 30 to 507 of the family's 1533-position model. The record is from RNAcentral.